This 498-nucleotide ribosomal RNA is filed under the name uncultured bacterium. Its description in RNAcentral is "partial 16S ribosomal RNA". It matches the Rfam family "Bacterial small subunit ribosomal RNA", at positions 29 to 523 of the family's 1533-position model. The record is from RNAcentral.
AUUGAACGCUGGUGGCAUGCCUUACACAUGCAAGUCGAACGGUAACGCGGGGCAACCUGGCGACGAGUGGCGAACGGGUGAGUAAUGCAUCGGAACGUGCCCAGUAGUGGGGGAUAGCCCGGCGAAAGCCGGAUUAAUACCGCAUACGACCUAUGGGUGAAAGCGGGGGACCGUAAGGCCUCGCGCUAUUGGAGCGGCCGAUGUCAGAUUAGGUUGUUGGUGGGGUAAAAGCCUACCAAGCCGACGAUCUGUAGCUGGUCUGAGAGGACGACCAGCCACACUGGGACGGAGACACGGCCCAGACUCCUACGGGAGGCAGCAGUGGGGAAUUUUGGACAAUGGGGGCAACCCUGAUCCAGCCAUGCCGCGUGCGGGAAGAAGGCCUUCGGGUUGUAAACCGCUUUUGUCAGGGAAGAAACGCUCUGAGUUAAUACCUCGGGGUAAUGACGGUACCUGAAGAAUAAGCACCGGCUAACUACGUGCCAGCCGCCGCCGUAA